RNAcentral lists this ribosomal RNA (1089 nucleotides) under Staphylococcus aureus. RNAcentral's name for it is "bacterial SSU rRNA". It matches the Rfam family "Bacterial small subunit ribosomal RNA", at positions 51 to 1105 of the family's 1533-position model. The record is from RNAcentral. Lineage: Bacteria; Bacillati; Bacillota; Bacilli; Caryophanales; Staphylococcaceae.
AUACUGCAGUCGAGCGAACGGACGAGAAGCUUGCUUCUCUGAUGUUAGCGGCGGACGGGUGAGUAACACGUGGAUAACCUACCUAUAAGACUGGGAUAACUUCGGGAAACCGGAUCUAAUACCGGACAAUAUUUUGAACCGCAGGGUUCAUAAGUGAAAGACGGUCUUGCUGUCACUUAUUGAUAGAUCCGCGCUGCAGUAGCUAGUUGGUAAGGUAACGGCUUACCAAGGCGACGAUGCAGAGCCGACCUGAGAGGGUGAUCGGCCACACUGGAACUGACACCCGGUCCACACCCCGACGGGAGGCAGCAGUAGGGAAUCUUCCGCAAUGGGCGAAAGCCCGACGGAUCAACGCCGCGGGAGUGAUGAAGGUCUUCGGAUCGUAAAACUCUGUUAUUAGGGAAGAACAUAUGUGUAAGUAACUGUGCACAUCUCGACGGUACCUAAUCAGAAUGCCACGGCGAUUACGUGCCAGCCGCCACGGUGAUACGUAUGUCGCGAGCGUUAUCCGGAAUUAUUGGGCGUAAAGCGCGGGUAGGCUGUUUUUUAAGUCCGAUGUGAAAGCCCACGGCUCAUCCUUGCAGGGUCAUUGGAGACUGGAGCACUUGAGUGCACAAUAGGAGAGUGGAAUUCCCCGUGUAGCGGUAAAAUGCGCAUAGAUGUGGGAAGAACACCAGUGGCUAAGGCCACUUUCUGGUCUGUAACUCACACUUAUAUGCGAAUGCGUGAGGAUCAAACCGGAUUAGAUACCCGUGUUCUCCACGCCUUAUACCAUAAGUGCUCACUGUUAGGGGGUUUCCGCCUCCUAGUGCUGCCUCUAAUGCACUAGUCACUCCUCCCGGUGCGUACUACAGCCGUGUGCAUUCUCAUCGGACUUGACGGGACACCCGCACCCGCGGUUGAAGCACGUGGUUUACUUAGAAGCAUCGCGCACAACCUUACACAAUCGUCGACCUCCCUUGGACAACUCUCGUGGCGGUGUCAUCCCCUUCCGGGCGAAAAAAUUGAACAGGUUGCUUGCAAGGGUUGUUCCUCCCCCUCGGGCCGGGAGAUUUUUUGAUUUAAAUACCCUCACCCAAGUGCAACCCG